Molecule: ribosomal RNA, 467 nt
Filed under: uncultured bacterium
Lineage: Bacteria
Description: partial 16S ribosomal RNA
Rfam family: Bacterial small subunit ribosomal RNA
Source: RNAcentral
GAUGAACGCUGACAGAAUGCUUAACACAUGCAAGUCCACUUGAAUUUGGGUUUUUAACUUAGGUUUGGGUGGCGGACGGGUGAGUAACGCGUAAAGAACUUGCCUCACAGCUAGGGACAACAUUUGGAAACGAAUGCUAAUACCUAAUAUUAUGAUAAUAGGGCAUCCUAUAAUUAUGAAAGCUAUAAGCGCUGUGAGAGAGCUUUGCGUCCCAUUAGCUAGUUGGAGAGGUAACGGCUCACCAAGGCGAUGAUGGGUAGCCGGCCUGAGAGGGUGAUCGGACAAAAGGGGACUGAGACACGGCCCUUACGCAUAAGGGAGGAAGCAGUGGGGAAUAUUGGACAAUGGACCGAGAGUGUGAUCCAGAAAUUCUGUGUGCAAGAUGAAGUUUUUCGGAAUGUAAAGUGCUUUCAGUUGGGAAGAAAAAAAUGACGGUACCAACAGAAGAAGUGACGGCUAAAUACGUG